GUAUAGACAUAGACAAAAUACAUGUUUUAUGAAUGAAUAAAUAAUAAGAACCUUAAGAGCUGUUUUUUUCCCAUUUAAGAAAACAAAAAGGAAAAGAGAAAAAUGAUCUUCUGGAAUAACUCUGCUUUGAUAUUCUCCUUUUGUUCCCCAAAAAAUAUAUUCCAGAAAGGCAAACCAAACCUGCUCAAGUUGCCUAUGCACAGACAAUCUCAACAAUAUGGCUCACAGUGAGCAAGCAGAAAUUCAGGGUCUGGAAUUGAAUGUGAGUUAUGGGAAGAAACAGUGUGUGCUUUCACAAAGAUCCUUUUGUCAGACAAGGGAACAGCAUGAUAAUCCAAUGGAACUGGUUAACAUGACCCAAGAUGACAUGACCACAGAUAUACUAGUCGUUCUGAAACUUGCCCAAGAAAUUGCAAUCGUUUCAGCAGAACUCCAUGAAAUAUUGACAAAUUAAUUCCAUCAUCAAACUAGGAGUGAUAUUAUCAGGUAAAACUAUGAUCUCAUGUAUGUAUUUGGUCUUUCUGGGUCACAAUGUGACAUGAAAAAUUUUAAAGGUCAUAUUUUAGCAAGAUCAAAAUGAAUUAGAUAAAUCAACUUCACAAAUGUUAAGCGAAACAUGAUCCUAUUGAGCUGAGAAAGAAGUACUUGAGAUCGUUUGAGUUUUGACUAUCAAAUGUCAGCACAAAAGCAAAUAUCAAAAGCUUAAGAAAAAAAUUAUUUCAGGAAAAGAAAAACACAUCAAAUUGAGAAAGUGUUGUUGAAUAACUUUGUUUUUAGAACUGGAAAUUUAGGCUUAUUAGACAUGACAUUGAUAUUACAAAGCCCUAGUUUUCAUGAAAACAUAACUAGAUAACCCCAAGGUGUAUAGGUUAAAAUGAACUAAUUAAUCAACAAUUAUGCAUCCUGUGUCUAUUUUGUGCAAGGUACUUCCUAGACACUGUAGUUUGAAAGAAUAAUUUCCUGUAGAAAAACCUAAUCUAAUAGGACCUACUCAUAAUUUGGCAAAAUCAUCCUCAUAAUUCCAUGCUACUGAAAUGGGGGUGUAAUAAAGAAAAAAUCAUUUGUUUAUUCAUUUAACAGGGUUUAUUAAGCACCAAUAUAUGCCCAGAACUUUGCAGUGCACUGGAAGUUCAGAGAUAAGAAAACCACAGUUUCUGCCAUCAAAAUGCUAGGAAUCUAGAGGUCUCAAACAUCAGAGGUCCCUUCAAACUAUGUCUACCAGGAAAAUAAAAUACCUGAUUUCAUCCCUGCAAACAACUCUAUACAGACAGAAAUGCUUCCUAGCUUGGAAACUAUAGAAAAUUGAACAUGAAAAUGAGAGCAAAGGUUCUACAUCAAAAUGGCAAUGAUCCAAUCAGCCCAGUCAAGGCUGAGUGGGUUGAAUGGGGACUUCGAGUUUGGAUUCAAUGCUUUGAACUUCAUAGCUCCAGAGAAGCUGUGCAAAAAGGGGGGAUUCUAGGGAAUCUGAGGAAGAUUGUUGGAGAAACCAGCUUUCUUCUUGUCUCCUAAUCCCUGCUAAGAUUGAUACCAGUCAAGGAGCUGAGUUACUUUCAUUUCAUUAUGUUGACCAAGAGAAGCUUAUGAUACAGACUAUGACACAGCACCUAUUUCAAGAGAAAGAUGUUACUCUACUUAUGGGAACCUGCAGAUCAAAUUCUCCUGGGGCAAGAGAAGAAAUUUGUUCAGCAGCCUAAGAAGUCAACUGUACUUUGGACAGUGCUGCCAAACACACCCCAGGAUUCUCCCACCCCUGUGCUUUCCCAGAAGAUGCCACAUAGCUGGUAUUUGGUUUUCAUGAAUAACCAAAGAUUCUUCUUUGCUUCCUGAACCCCAGGCAUCCUUAGGAAUUUGCUUCAUGUCCUCACUUGUCCUUGAAGGCUUGUUUUUCAGGAUGAACUUUUAAAGUCUAAGUUGUUUAUAUUCAAAUCAACCCAAUGCUAUUGUUGCUGAUAUUAAACCAUUCCAAACUGAGCCAACUGGCCCCUAAACAAGCCAGCAGGCAGCCCCUCACUAAUGCCCAGUUUAGAACAUGUUAGGACCAGGCUAUCUGCAUAGCUUUAGUGGUUUUAGAAGCCAGUAAUGGCAGUGUAAAAGAGGAAUCAUACAGAGAUGACCUGGAAGAAAAUUUGAGUUUCAGCACAUUCAAAAGCAUUUGACUCUUCUGCCGUGUUUUGAUUUUCAAGUGAGACAAUCAAUGUACACACAAAGCCUCUAGUACAAUGACUGAUGCAUACUAGGGACUGUUAUUUAUGUUAUUUUUUUACAGUAUGCAUGGACUUCAUUGUCUCAGUCUUUGGUGUUACUUAUAAACUCUAAAUUUACACCAAAAAAAUUUUUUUUCAGAAAAAGAAUCGUGGAGAAACAAUCCUAAUUAUUAAAUCAAAUGCUUUCACAAUUGCUUUUUAAAUAAGUACAUCUCUGCAAAUAAAAAUGCUUGCUCUUGUCUACCACAAUAAAGAACAGAAGGAAUCUUGGAAUGAAGAGAGGCAGGAAUGUUGGAUCUCAGUGGCUGAGUUGUGGCAAUUCCAUUGGACAUAUAGUACCAGAUGUUGCACCAUCUGGAUGAUGUGUAGGAGAUAAAGCCAAAUUGCAAAAAUAAAAGACUCAUGAUUUCCCAAGGAAAGUCAACUGUGCAUGGUGGCUAUCAGACAACACCCUAGCAAUGAAUGGGGGAACUUGCAGAAGAAAGAGUUAAUGCUUGCUUAAACCUUCCCUGGGGAGAUUUGUUCCCAGGCUUUCACGGCUUUAACCUCAGCAACCCUGUAAGAAAAUUGUGAUUCAUAUUUUGAUUUGUUAUCAUAGAUGCAAAGAGACAUAAUUUCAUGGAUUCUAAGAUACACAGAGCAAGAAGAGAUUUUGAUCACCCAGAACAACCACCUGUCUUUUUAGAUCAAGAAGCAGAAGCUCAGAGCAAAGAACAUCACACCACGUCCCUCAGUGAUUGAAGCAGUGAUUGAGUCACAGAAUAAAUCUGGAACUCAGGUCUUCUGAUCUUUGCUCCAGAUGUUAGAGACAAAACUAAAAGUAAAAUACCAAGUGAAAUCAAAGCAUCACGAUUGAGCCCAGAACAUGAAAAAGAACUUCCUGGCCCACUUGAGAAACUGUUAAACCGGACAUACCUUUGGGGACUUCUUCCCUUCUCUGGAAUAAGAUUGAUGUUUCCAUGCUGUGAAAGACGAUGAUGUUCCUUCUCCCAGAUUCCUGCUGUCUUCAAAAGGCCUAGCAAAAACCACUGCUGCUGGGUGCAGUUGAGAAAGGGAAUGAAGAACAAUCCCAUGGCCAUGCAGGCACUCCUCCCCUCCACCUCUCUGCCCUCCACCCCUCUGCCCUCUCCUACCUUGUUCCUUCUUGGUCCUGCCAUGUUUGGACUGGUUCACCUUUUUGGCCCAUCACUUGGGCUCAUUCAGCAACAGUCAUGCCUUAGGUUGCAUCCUCAUCUAUAGGCCAAUUAAACAGGGUUUCUUCUUGAUAAAUCCCUAUGGUUUUGAUUUUAGGAAGUCAGGCAUGAUUUCUUUUGGGAUCUAUAUGACCCAAAGUGGCCAGUUUUACCAAAGGUGUCCCUUUGCACUGGGAUCUCUGGGUCUCAUUUGAACACAGCUUGGGUCCUCUUGCCUUGUCCCAGAGAAUCCCCAUGUUGUCAGGACAUAAGCAGAUACUCUAGGGCCUUCACCAAAAGCUACAAAGAAGCAGACAGGACUCAACUUAGGACAUCUUAUGGUUAUGUAACUAAGAGAUUAUUUUAGGAAGUAAACAGGCCUCUGUUGGCUCAAAUGAACAUCUUCAUUGUUAGUUUCCACUUACAUUGUUCUCGGGAUAAAUCGGCCAGAAUUUGGCAGGGCUCCCCAGCAGUCCUUGUGAAUCCCUGUGGUAGGAUGUUUCAGUUCUCCUGAGUCAGGCUGAAGUGAAAGCUCCUAAGAGAUAUUCAGAAAGAAGGAUGGUCAAGUUCUAGAACAACAAUAGUUGGCCCAGUAAUUUUAAAGAUUGUCAUUCUACCUAAGCCUUCAUCCUCCAGAUAGCACUGUUAUGGGCUUAAAAUAAGCUUCAAGGGAAAUAAUGAAUUUCUUUGACACCGCCAAAAAUCGGCUGUAUAUAAGAAUAACUUGAGAAUGGCUUACAAUGAGGUAGUCAAAAGCCCAGCUCAGUGCUCAGGAAUGUAUUUGUAAUUCCUCUUAGACUUGUCGAAUGGACUGCAAUUUGAUACCUAAGAGUAAUAAAAAAUGAGACCAUAUUUUAUGUUAAUGUUCCCUUCUCUUCCUCUGCCCACAAAAGUGAGGUCAGGGAAGGGGAGAGAAACUUAUCCUAAGCACUCCUUAUGAGUUGCUUGUGACAUGAUAGCUCUCUCUAAAGUUCAUGCAAUCCUCAUCGCAACCCCAUGAGGGAGAUGUUAUUGUCUCCAUCUUAUAGAUGAGGAAACUGAAGACAAGACCUUGUCAAAGGUCACACAUUGUAAGAAGUAGAGCUGCAUAUUCAACCAAAGCCCGUGUACCUGGAAAGCUCAUUCUCUCUCCCCCUUCUUCCUCUCAAAUCAGGCCCUAGCUCCUCCACAAUGCUUCGGGCUUCUACGUUCACUCAGCUUUACAGUAAAAUGAUCACAGACCCAUGAGUUCCCUGGAGAGUAGAGUGAUGCCUGGGUCAGCUGUUCCUCUUGUCUGUUCAGCAGGUCCUUUGAGUGGCUUCACAAUCCAGCUGUCAGUGGCAGAAAAUAAUGCCUCAUAAAUUAUUCACCUGGUUCACAUUGGAAUCCAUUAGCUCUCGGGGCUUGGUGUGGCUGCAGAUCAUCCACAAGUGCCCCUUGUUCUCUGCCCCCAAGGAGCUCCUGUCAUUGUUUUUAACCAAACAAGUUCAAAUAUCUCCACGUCUCUGCUGACUCUGGUCUUUUGUCUCUAGACUGUACCUUUAUUUCUGAGCUCUGAAAUUCUGCAGAAACAGGUGAGUCUAUAAAAACAUUCUGUGGGAGGCCAAAAGCUCAGAACAGUUGUGUCUCUCUUUCUCAGUAUUAAAAGAUCAAGGUUUCCCAUGGAAGCCAACCUGAUCUGGUAAUUGGGCCCUUCUAUACCCCUCUGAAUACUUUUCCAAGGAGGGGGCAGUUCCCACCCCCAUAGUUCCCCUGAGGGUUAAGAGUCCAGGUGGUGGCCAAGUUGCAAGAUUUGGGGCAGCCAUUUUGCCAAGGAUCAGAGAUUUGCUGUUGGAGAGGUGAAGUCGGCUCUGUGCCAUCCUGAAAAAUCAACUUAGAAAGAUAGGUGGACUUCAUCAGAUUUGUCAGUCCUUCCUUGUUUUAAAGAGAAAAAUGAUCUCUGCCUUGCUUCAGAUAGGAUAUGGCUAUUUUUUUUCCUUCUUUUUCUAAUGUAGCAGUGAUGGAAAACACCAGUCUUUGAAGAACAAAUGGAGGUUCCCAGUGACAUGAAUCCAUUAUAUUUGAUUUUGGAUUGUAUUUUUUAACCCCUUUUUAUGGCAUAGAAUUCUGGUGCCUUGCUCCCUGGGUUUGUCUCUGUGCUACGAGUAGGCUUUCUUCACAUUCUGGCUUACAGGGGAACACAACUAUUCCACAAGUGGCCUUUAGUGCUCUUUAUAAUAUGAUUUCCUGUAAUUUUUAAACUGUAUGUGUAAUUUAUAUUCUGGCUCUGUCCAAUAUUUGAACAACUUUAAUAGGUUGAUUUCCAUAUAUAUUAUGCAAAUAAUUCUUACCUGAUUUUUUAUGUUCUAUCUUAAAUAAAUACUGCACCACUUAUUAAUAAAUAGACAUUUCAGUGAUU
This 5753-nucleotide long non-coding RNA is filed under the name Homo sapiens (human). RNAcentral describes it as "non-protein coding lnc-HHLA1-3:1". Lineage: Eukaryota; Metazoa; Chordata; Mammalia; Primates; Hominidae. The record is from RNAcentral.